Non-coding RNA from Podarcis lilfordi (Lilford's wall lizard), 72 nucleotides. Lineage: Eukaryota; Metazoa; Chordata; Lepidosauria; Squamata; Lacertidae. The record is from the annotation of a GenBank genome assembly.
GGUUGAAAUGCAAGUCGGUAGAGCAUGAGACACUUAAUCUCAAGGCUGUGAGUUCGAGUCCCACUUUGGCCA